CCAGACUCCUACGGGAGGCAGCAGUGGGGAAUAUUGGGCAAUGGGCGCAAGCCUGACCCAGCAACGCCGCGUGAAGGAAGAAGGCUUUCGGGUUGUAAACUUCUUUUUUCAGGGACGAAGCAAGUGACGGUACCUGACGAAUAAGCCACGGCUAACUACGUGCCAGCAGCCGCGGUAAUACGUAGGUGGCAAGCGUUAUCCGGAUUUACUGGGUGUAAAGGGCGUGUAGGCGGGGAAGCAAGUCAGAUGUGAAAACCACGGGCUCAACCUGGGGCCUGCAUUUGAAACUGUUUUUCUGGAGUGCUGGAGAGGCAAUCGGAAUUCCGUGGGUAGCGGGGAAAUGCGUAGAUAUACGGAGGAACACCAGUGGCGAAGGCGGCCUGCUGGACAUUAACUGACGCUGAGGCGCGAAAGCGUGGGGAGCAAACAGGAUUAGAUCCCCGUGUA
This 447-nucleotide ribosomal RNA is filed under the name uncultured bacterium. RNAcentral's name for it is "bacterial SSU rRNA". It matches the Rfam family "Bacterial small subunit ribosomal RNA", at positions 331 to 792 of the family's 1533-position model. The record is from RNAcentral.